RNAcentral lists this ribosomal RNA (374 nucleotides) under uncultured organism. RNAcentral's name for it is "partial 16S ribosomal RNA". It matches the Rfam family "Bacterial small subunit ribosomal RNA", at positions 527 to 896 of the family's 1533-position model. The record is from RNAcentral.
GUAGGUGGCAAGCGUUGUCCGGAAUUAUUGGGCGUAAAGCGCGCGCAGGCGGGGUCCUUUAAGUCUGAUGUGAAAGCCCACGGGCUCAACCGUGGAGGGUCAUUGGAAACUGGGGGACUUGAGUACAGAAGAGGAAAGCGGAAUUCCAAGUGUAGCGGUGAAAUGCGUAGAGAUUUGGAGGAACACCAGUGGCGAAGGCGGCUUUCUGGUCUGUAACUGACGCUGAGGCGCGAAAGCGUGGGGAGCAAACAGGAUUAGAUACCCUGGUAGUCCACGCCGUAAACGAUGAGUGCUAAGUGUUAGGGGGUUUCCGCCCCUUAGUGCUGCAGCUAACGCAUUAAGCACUCCGCCUGGGGAGUACGGCCGCGAGGCUG